UGACAAAGUUCAACGGCCGCGGUACCCUAACCGUGCGAAGGUAGCAUAAUCACUUGUUCUUUAAAUGAGGACUCGUAUCAACGGCACUACGAGGGCUAUACUGUCUCCUUUUUCUAAUCAGUGAAACUGAUCUCCCCGUGAAGAAGCGGGGAUCAAAAUAUAAGACGAGAAGACCCCAUGGAGCUUUAAACUCACUAUACACCUCUGUGCCUUUAUGUCACUAGACACAAGAGAUCUGCGUACUAGUUUUAGGUUGGGGGGACCACGGAGUAUAAUUUAACCUCCAUAACAAAUGGGCUAACACCCUUAUCUACGAGACACAACUCUAAGAAUUACUAAACUAAUGCUUAUGACCCAAUAUUCGAUCAAUGAACCAAGUUACCCUGGGGAUAACAGCGCAAUCUACUUCAAGAGCCCAUAUCGACAAGUGGGUUUACGACCUCGAUGUUGGAUCAGGGUAUCCCGGUGGUGCAGCCGCUACCGACGGUUCGUUUGUUCAACGAUUAAAACCCUACGUGAUCUGAG
Molecule: ribosomal RNA, 525 nt
Filed under: Rana graeca (Greek frog)
Lineage: Eukaryota; Metazoa; Chordata; Amphibia; Anura; Ranidae
Description: partial large subunit ribosomal RNA
Rfam family: Bacterial large subunit ribosomal RNA
Source: RNAcentral